UACGGGGGGGGCAAGCGUUGUUCGGAAUUACUGGGCGUAAAGGGUUCGUAGGUGGCUUGUUAAGUCAGACGUGAAAUCCCUCGGCUCAACCGGGGAACUGCGUCUGAGACUGAUGAGCUCGAGUGCAGGAGAGGAAAGUGGAAUUCCUGGUGUAGCGGUGAAAUGCGCAGAUAUCAGGAAGAACACCAAUGGCGAAAGCAGCUUUCUGGGACGGUACUGACGCUGAGACGCGAAAGCGUGGGGAGCGAACAGG
This 253-nucleotide ribosomal RNA is filed under the name uncultured bacterium. Its description in RNAcentral is "partial 16S ribosomal RNA". It matches the Rfam family "Bacterial small subunit ribosomal RNA", at positions 524 to 776 of the family's 1533-position model. The record is from RNAcentral.